This 502-nucleotide ribosomal RNA is filed under the name uncultured bacterium. RNAcentral's name for it is "partial 16S ribosomal RNA". It matches the Rfam family "Bacterial small subunit ribosomal RNA", at positions 30 to 523 of the family's 1533-position model. The record is from RNAcentral.
AUUGAACGCUGGCGGCAUGCCUUACACAUGCAAGUCGAACGGCAGCACGGGAGCUUGCUCCUGGUGGCGAGUGGCGAACGGGCGAGUAAUGCAUCGGAACGUACCCGGAAGUAGGGGAUAACGUAGCGAAAGUUAAGCUAAUACCUCAGAAUCUUGGAGCAGGAAAGAGGGGGAUCGCAAGACCUCUCGCUGUCGGAGCGGCCGGUGUCGGAUUAGCUAGUUGGUGGGGUAAAGGCCUACCAAGGCGACGAUCCGUAGCGGGUCUGGGAGGAGGAUCCGCCACACUGGAACUGAGACACGGUCCAGACUCCUACGGGAGGCAGCAGUGGGGAAUUUUGGACAAUGGGCGAAAGCCUGAUCCAGCCAUGCCGCGUGAGUGAAGAAGGCCUUCGGGUUGUAAAGCUCUUUCGGCUGAAAAGAAAUCACACAGGCUAAUACCUUGUGUGGAUGACGGUAUCAGCAUAAGAAGCACCGGCUAACUACGUGCCAGCCGCCGCCGUAA